GGAAGUAAAAGUCGUAACAAGAUUUCCGUAGGUGAACCUGCGGAAGGAUCAUUAUUGUAUAACCGAGGUGCUAGGGCUGUCGCUGACCCGAAAGGUCGUGCACGCCCGAGUGCCCUCACACACAUCCAUCUCACCCCUAUGUGCACCACCGCGUGGGUCCCCCUUUGGCUUGUUCGGAGGGGGGCUUACGUUUUCACACAAACUUUGUAUGCAGUGUAGAAUGUAUUUUUUGUUUUUGCGAUCACGCAAUCAAUACAACUUUCAACAACGGAUCUCUUGGCUCUC
RNAcentral lists this unclassified non-coding RNA (285 nucleotides) under plant metagenome. RNAcentral's name for it is "partial contains small subunit ribosomal RNA, internal transcribed spacer 1, and 5.8S ribosomal RNA". The stretch from base 1 to 54 matches the Rfam family "Eukaryotic small subunit ribosomal RNA", at positions 1778 to 1831 of the family's 1831-position model. The record is from RNAcentral.